UUGAAUAAUAAAGAAAUAGGUUUAGUGCAGAUAAUUAUCUGUAUUAAUUAAAAGGGAAGUUGGGUGAAAAUCCCACACGGUCCCGCCGCUGUAAGAGUGUAGUCUUUUCAAAUAAACCACUGGGAAACUGGGAAGGUAGAAAAGAUGAUAAUACUUGAGUCAGAAGACCUGCCUAUUUUUUCGCCGGAAC
Molecule: non-coding RNA, 190 nt
Filed under: Clostridium argentinense
Lineage: Bacteria; Bacillati; Bacillota; Clostridia; Eubacteriales; Clostridiaceae
Also listed under: 1 other name
Source: RNAcentral